This is a long non-coding RNA of Piliocolobus tephrosceles (Ugandan red Colobus), 407 nucleotides long. RefSeq lists it as uncharacterized. The record is from RefSeq and is a predicted model, not a curated record. The transcript is spliced from 3 exons. Lineage: Eukaryota; Metazoa; Chordata; Mammalia; Primates; Cercopithecidae.
CUUAGUGACUAAGACAAAAGUUGCCUGGUAGUUCAUUGGUGGAACCAUAGAAGGCUGUCUGGAGUUCACUGUAAGCCCAGGAAGCAGGGACAUCAAUGAGACUGUUCUGGAGCCUUGACGUGCCAUAAUUAUGGUUUUACCUGAGAUUAUUAUUAAUAUAAACUUCACGUUCUGAAGAAGAAUCUGCUCUCCAUUACAAAAGCCAAGUGUUGGCUGCAGGAUGUUGAACGGCAGGGUAUCAAUCAGCACUUUUCCAAGUCUGAAUAGGCUGUCAUUCUACUUUCUCUGUCCACAGAUACAGUAAACCUGGACCUGGAAAACUUGGAAUACAUCUUCAUCUGUCCGUCUGUUACAUUUGCAAGGAAAAAAUUGUGAAGUCACCCCUUAUAAAGGCUGUCCUGAUUCAC